Molecule: unclassified non-coding RNA, 363 nt
Filed under: fungal sp.
Lineage: Eukaryota; Fungi
Description: partial internal transcribed spacer region
Rfam family: Eukaryotic small subunit ribosomal RNA (bases 1-46)
Source: RNAcentral
AAGUCGUAACAAGGUUUCCGUAGAGGAAUCUGCGGAAGGAUCAUGAACGAGGAUGCGAGCACGAUGCCGACAGACCGACGGCGAGCGAGAGCGAGCUGGAGGUCUGGAGGCUCGGUUGCGAGCAGCCGAGCGGGGGUGGGGGCUGCUGUCUGCGCAAGCGGGCGGUGUGCUUCCCAUGCCCGACUCCACCCUUUGUGCGGAGAGAGGCGACGCGAAGAUGGAUGCGAGGGACAGCGCUGCACUGACGGUGCGGUGCUGCUCUGCGCGUGCAUACAUACGUACCACGUAGCAUACCUACUUACUAACUAACUACUAUACCACAACACAACACAACAACUCUCAGCAGCGGAUCUCUAGGCUCUC